CCUACGGGUGGCAGCAGUGGGGAAUAUUGGGCAAUGGGGGCAAGCCUGACCCAGCAACGCCGCGUGAAGGAAGAAGGCCCUCGGGUUGUAAACUUCUUUUGUCAGGGACGAAACAAAUGACGGUACCUGACGAAUAAGCCACGGCUAACUACGUGCCAGCAGCCGCGGUAAUACGUAGGGGGCAAGCGUUAUCCGGAUUUACUGGGUGUAAAGGGCGCGUAGGCGGGAGUGCAAGUCAGAUGUGAAAGUCCAGGGCUCAACCCUGGAACUGCAUUUGAAACUGUUUUUCUUGAGUGAUGGUGUGGCAAGCGGAAGUCCGUGUGUAGCGGUGAAAUGCGUAGAUAUACGGAGGAACACCAGUGGCGAAGGCGGCCUGCUGGACAUUAACUGACGCUGAGGCGCGAAAGCGUGGGGAGCAAACAGGAUUAGAUACCCCAGUAGUC
RNAcentral lists this ribosomal RNA (443 nucleotides) under uncultured bacterium. Its description in RNAcentral is "partial 16S ribosomal RNA". It matches the Rfam family "Bacterial small subunit ribosomal RNA", at positions 338 to 795 of the family's 1533-position model. The record is from RNAcentral.